ACCUGACUACAGUUCUUGGAGGACAUCCUGGGAAAACAGGGGUGAAUGUGGCUUGUUGUGAGGGAAGGACAUUGAGGGCAAGGCUCUCGGGAAUAUUCAGCAGUUGCCUUUCUCUGGAAGUGGCCAUUUUGGGAAAAUCUGGCCCCACUCGUCAGCCAGCACUAAAAUGCCCCAGGGCAAACAACAAUCCAGGUGGGAUCACAGCCCUGCCCCUCAGUAAACAGGCUACCUAAAGACCCCUCAGGCACACAGCUGCGUCUAAUCCCAUCCAGACACCAAGCCCCACCCACCAGAGGGAUUAGAAUCAGCUCCACCUACCAUUGGGCAGGCAUCAGCCCCUCCCAUCAGGAAGCCUACAGCAAGCCCCCCAUACCGACUUCAGCGACAGGGGGGCAGACAUCAGAAGUAAGAGAGGCUACAACUCUAUUAUCUGCAAAAAGGUCACCACACCAAACACCUAUAAAAAUGAAAAGACAGAGAACUAUAACUCAGAUGAGAGAGAAAGGAAAAACCCCAGAAAAUCAGCUAAGUGAUGAGGAGAUAGAUUCUCAGCCUCCAGGAAAAAGCCUUGAGACUGUUGAAACUGAAGAUGAUUCAAGACAUUGGAAAGAAAUUGGAGGUAAAGAUGGCUAAGGAGUUCCCGUCGUGGCUCAGUGGGAAACAAAUCUGACUAGGAACCAUAAGGUUGCAGGUUCGAUCCCUGGCCUUGCUCAUGGGUUAAGGAUCUGGCAUUGCUGUGAGCUGUGGUAUAGGUCGCAGACAUGGCUCGGAUCCCGCGUUGCUCUGGCUGUGGUGUAGGCUGGCAGCUACAGCUCUGAUUAGACCACUAGCCUGGGAACCUCCAUAUGCCAAGGGAGUGGCCCAAGAAAUG
RNAcentral lists this long non-coding RNA (871 nucleotides) under Sus scrofa (pig). Its description in RNAcentral is "lncRNA (ENSSSCG00035001437.1)". Lineage: Eukaryota; Metazoa; Chordata; Mammalia; Artiodactyla; Suidae. The record is from RNAcentral.